UACAGGGGGGGCAAGCGUUGUUCGGAAUUACUGGGCUUAAAGGGUUUGUAGGCGGCCUUGUAAGUCAGGUGUGAAAUCCCUCGGCUCAACCGAGGAACGGCGCUUGAUACUGCAAGGCUUGAGGGAGACAGGGGUAAGCGGAACUGAUGGUGGAGCGGUGAAAUGCGUUGAUAUCAUCAGGAACACCGGUGGCGAAAGCGGCUUACUGGGUCUCUUCUGACGCUGAGGAACGAAAGCUAGGGUAGCGAACGGG
Molecule: ribosomal RNA, 253 nt
Filed under: uncultured bacterium
Lineage: Bacteria
Description: partial 16S ribosomal RNA
Rfam family: Bacterial small subunit ribosomal RNA
Source: RNAcentral